CCUACGGGGGGCAGCAGUGAGGAAUAUUGGGCAAUGGGCGCGAGCCUGAACCAGCCAAGUCGCGUGAAGGAUGACUGCCCUACGGGUUUUAACCUUCUUUUAUAAAGGAGUAAAGUGAGGCAUGUCUGCCUUUUUGUCUGUACUUUAUGAAUAAGGAUCGGCUAACUCCGUGCCAGCAGCCGCGGCAAUAUGGAGGAUCCGAGCGUGAUACGGAUUUGUUGGGUGUAAAGGGAGCGUAGAUGGGUUGUUAAGUCAGUUGUGAAAGUUCGGGGCUCAACCGUAAAAUUGCAAUUGAUACUGGCAGUCUUGAGUACAGUUGAGGUAGGCGGAAUUCGUGGUGUAGCGGUGAAAUGCGUAGAUAUCACGAAGAACUCCGAUGGCGAAGGCAGCUUACUAAACUGCCACUGACAUUGAUGCUCGAAAGUGUGGGUAUCAAACAGGAUUAGAUACCCGUGUAGUC
This 460-nucleotide ribosomal RNA is filed under the name uncultured bacterium. RNAcentral's name for it is "partial 16S ribosomal RNA". It matches the Rfam family "Bacterial small subunit ribosomal RNA", at positions 338 to 795 of the family's 1533-position model. The record is from RNAcentral.